RNAcentral lists this ribosomal RNA (108 nucleotides) under Propithecus coquereli (Coquerel's sifaka). Lineage: Eukaryota; Metazoa; Chordata; Mammalia; Primates; Indriidae. The record is from RNAcentral.
GUCUACAGCCAUACCACCCUCAACCCACCCAAUCUUAUUUGAUCUCGGAAACUAAGCAGGGUCGGGCUUGGUUAGUAUUUGGUUGGGAGAAUGGCUUCGUUGUGGAAA